GCCGAAGUGGUGGAAUUGGCAGACACGCACGACUCAAAAUCGUGUGAGCUACGCUCAUGAGGGUUCGACUCCCUCCUUCGGCACCA
RNAcentral lists this transfer RNA (86 nucleotides) under Bacillota bacterium. RNAcentral's name for it is "tRNA-Leu". It matches the Rfam family "tRNA". From Rfam's summary of the family: Transfer RNA (tRNA) molecules are approximately 80 nucleotides in length. RNAcentral also lists the same sequence under 1 other name. Lineage: Bacteria; Bacillati; Bacillota. The record is from RNAcentral.